UGAGGACAUGCUAAAAAUUUACCAACCCAGAAGGAAAAUAUCAAGAAGAUGAAAGACAAUAAGUGACUGCUCUAUGACAACAACUUGAAAAAACCCAGAAUAAAUGUGCAGACUAAACAUUUUUAUCAACCCAGAAAGAAAUUCUGUCCCGCUGAGCAGUCAUUUUCCAGGACCCCCACCCCAGGCCCUGGCAACCACAGGUGUGCUUUGUGUGAAGAGAGGCUCUUCAGCUGGGACCUGAGGUGUGGACAGAAGUCAACUUGUCAGGUAGUGAGGGAAGGGAGACAACAGCGUGAACAGUAUCUAGCAGAGCAGAGGUGAAGGCAAGAAAUCAACAGACCUGCGUGGCCAGGGCACAGAAUAUGAAGGCAUGUAUCCAGUAGAUGUGUUGGAAGAUGAUCCUGACGCACAACAGGAAGCAGCUCUGGCUUACCAUGCCUCACUUAGGGAAGGAGCUGGGGCCCCAGCUGAGGUUUUCUGUCUUCCCACUGGGGAGA
This 497-nucleotide long non-coding RNA is filed under the name Homo sapiens (human). RNAcentral's name for it is "HSALNT0383711". Lineage: Eukaryota; Metazoa; Chordata; Mammalia; Primates; Hominidae. The record is from RNAcentral.